AACAGUUGUGUGCAAGAAAAUAUUACAACAUCGAUUAAGGGAUCAUGGCUUCAAUGGAGUCAAAAGUGAACUUCCAUGACCUAAACUAUAGUCUAAUUUUACAUAAUGAACAACUUCAAAAUUACAUAAAUGUUAUAUUUCAUGGAGGAGUAACUUCACACAUACCGUAUUUAUACACAAAUAUUUUAUGAAUAAUCAAGGCAGAAAAGGAUUAUGAGAAGGAUAAUCUGCCUUCUGUUUUCUGUAGGCCCUGGCAACAUUUGUUCCUCCCAAUGCUGCAGUUCCCAAGAUAAUAAAAAGAAAGGGAAGCCCAAUCAGUGCAUGGUUUCUCGUCCUCCCUCCUCCUCCUCCUCCUCUAGGAACACCACUUCUUACAACACGCGAAUAUCCAACUACAUGUUCACCUUCUUGUCUUGCACCAGAAAGCAGGCAAGUGUAUGCUUCUGAAAUCAUCUUAAAUUUGAGUUCUGCAUUAGGUUUGAGAUGAACUGGAAAGCAAUCAGGAUGAGUCUCCCAUACCUUCCUUCUAUAAGCAGCUUUGACCUGAGAAGCAUUGGGGCAAGAACUAGUGGGAAAGCCUAGCAAGAGUUUUGCCUCAUCCAUCAACAUCUCAACUAUCUAAAAUUGUGCCACAAUUAACCUAAAAUCAGAUCUGAGACGCUCAGAGAAAUGCUAACAAUUAGCAGAUGAGGUACGUGGACUGAAUUUGAAGCAUUU
RNAcentral lists this unclassified non-coding RNA (717 nucleotides) under Hevea brasiliensis (rubber tree). The record is from RNAcentral. Lineage: Eukaryota; Viridiplantae; Streptophyta; Magnoliopsida; Malpighiales; Euphorbiaceae.